This 252-nucleotide ribosomal RNA is filed under the name uncultured bacterium. RNAcentral describes it as "partial 16S ribosomal RNA". It matches the Rfam family "Bacterial small subunit ribosomal RNA", at positions 524 to 775 of the family's 1533-position model. The record is from RNAcentral.
CACGUAGGGCGCAAGCGUUGUCCGGAAUUAUUGGGCGUAAAGAGCUCGUAGGCGGUCUGUUGCGUCCGCUGUGAAAACUCGGGGCUUAACCCCGAGCUUGCAGUGGAUACGGGCAGACUAGAGGUAGGUAGGGGAGAAUGGAAUUCCCGGUGUAGCGGUGAAAUGCGUAGAUAUCAGGAGGAACACCGGUGGUGUAGACGGCUUUCUGGACCGUAACUGACGCUGAGACACGAAAGCGUGGGUAGCAAACAG